Long non-coding RNA from Olea europaea var. sylvestris, 1456 nucleotides. RefSeq lists it as uncharacterized. The record is from RefSeq and is a predicted model, not a curated record. Lineage: Eukaryota; Viridiplantae; Streptophyta; Magnoliopsida; Lamiales; Oleaceae. The transcript is spliced from 2 exons.
UUCCAAACCAAUUGCUCCUACUCAAAACGUCUAUUUCUUCGCAUUAAACUCUUCUUUUUCUAUCACAACUUUCUCCAAAUUCAUCUCCGUUCUUAAAAAAUUAAUCUAAUUCUUUCUUAAUCUUAUUUUAUAUUAGCUUAAUCAUGAGGAAAUCUUGGAUUGCAUAUAGCUUAGCUAUACUAUUUACUUAUUCUUCUUCUUCUUCUUUUUUUCCUCUCUCGAUUGCAGUUUAACCUUCGUUGUAAAGUCAACGUGGUCACAAGGGGUGGUAGACCAUGUUUUGUAUAAGUUUUGAAACGAAAUUAAUAUAUUCUUGCUUAAUCUUUUUAUAUUUAGCUUAAUAAGAGGAAAAAUCUGGAUCAAAUUAUACUGUCCCACUAGAGCUUUCUCAUUUAUGAUUUAUGAAUGAAUUCAUUUAAGAUUAUUGAAUUUUUAAGGCUUUUUGUCUUGGUGCUUGUUGCUUUCUGCUAUGUCGGAUGGUUUUUGUUGUUUAGUGCAAUAAACUUUAACUAAUAAAUUUGGGCUUAAGUGAAUGAAAAAUGAAAUAAUAUAUAUAGACAAUGAUGAAAAAUGGUGUUUGAGGAAAUGGUGAGUAGAAAAUUUUGGCAGUGCUUUAGUUUGAGAAACUCGUUUCUUUGUUCAACAAGAAAGGAUGUACUUGUUAACGUUACUACAAUUUUCAGACAUAAAGCCAAAGGUAAGAUGAACUGAUUCUCACAAGCAUGGUCAUCGUCGUGAUUUCCAUGAUGAUGAAUCCAUUUGUGUUAUAACUUUGUGUUCCAUUAGUGUGUACUUAUGUCUCCUCAGCGUCCAAGAAAAGAAAGACUCGUUCUUGGAGGCAACUUACCGAGGGAGUUCCUUCCUUGCGCCCCCUUGGAAGCUGCUACUUGAAUGAGGAGUAAAAAAGCAUUUGGAUACUAUUUCGAACAUAAAUAAUUCGAUGAAUUGAAUUUUGGAGGUGGGCUUGGAUUUUUAUACCUUAAUCUUCCAUUUAAGGAUGUUUGGAAGGAAAAGGGCAAGGGAUGGUUACACUUUACAAGGACAUGGAGGAUUGUGCAGGAUAUAGAGACAUAGAGGUUAUGUGGGAGAUGAUACACUCUUCGUUCCCUCUUGAUUCUCACAACAAAAAACAUAGAAAGAAAGUUCUGUGCUGGAGAUUUUGUUUCCGACCAAUUUGAGCACUGGAUGGCAUGAUCAGUACGAGGAUUAGAUAGUACUGGAUAAUAUGGAUUGAUUUGGCAACUGGGAUACACGUCUUCUUGCCUCUCUUUCAGCUUCUAUUAUAGGCCUCGUCUUAAUUUUAUAGUAAUGACAGUAGCAGAUAAAACUCGACUGCUAUUGUUGAUGUAUUUGUAACACAAAGAAAUAAGGGCACAAACAACACUUGCUCCAUAAGAUCACUUGGAUUAGGCACUGCCAGCGUCAUUUAUUUAUGAAAUAUAGAAUGCGAUUAGUA